Pygocentrus nattereri (red-bellied piranha) is the source of this 68-nucleotide small nucleolar RNA. Its record names the gene SNORD58. It matches the Rfam family "Small nucleolar RNA SNORD58". Rfam says of the family: snoRNA U58 is found in introns 1, 3 and 6 of the ribosomal protein RPL17 gene in humans. U58 is a member of the C/D class of snoRNA which contain C (UGAUGA) and D (CUGA) box motifs. The record is from Ensembl. Lineage: Eukaryota; Metazoa; Chordata; Actinopteri; Characiformes; Serrasalmidae.
UUGUAAUGAUGACCUCUUAGGACACCUUUGGAUUAAUGAUGAAAAAAACUUUGACUUUUCUGAGCAAC